CAAUAGCGUAUAUUAAAGCUGUUGCAGUUAAAAAGCUCGUAGUUGGAUUUCUGGUGGGAGCGAUCGGUCUGGCGCUUAGCGCGAGUACUUGCAUCGUCUCCGGCCAUCCUUGGGGGGAGUCUGUCUGGCAUUAGGUUGUCGGGCAGAGGAUCCUCAUCGUUUACUGUGAAAAAAUUAGAGUGUUCAAAGCAGGCUUAUGCCGUUGAAUAUAUUAGCAUGGAAUAAUAAGAUAGGACUUUGGUACUAUUUUGUUGGUUUGCGCACCAAAGUAAUGAUUAAUAGGGACAGUUGGGGGUAUUCGUAUUCCGUUGUCAGAGGUGAAAUUCUUGGAUUUACGGAAGACGAACUACUGCGAAAGCAUUUACCAAGGAUGUUUUCAUUAA
RNAcentral lists this ribosomal RNA (383 nucleotides) under uncultured eukaryote. RNAcentral's name for it is "partial 18S ribosomal RNA". It matches the Rfam family "Eukaryotic small subunit ribosomal RNA", at positions 592 to 976 of the family's 1831-position model. The record is from RNAcentral.